CCACCCACAUGAAAAUCAAUUUGACCCACUAUCUCUUUGACAAAGAAAUGAAUUUGACCAACUGCUCAUGUUUGGCAUAAAUCUAAAUCGUGAGUUCUAUCCGAAUGGAAGAAUGGUUAAAAAAAAAAUUUAACUGUACGUUUGUUCAAAAUGUAAGCAUAGAAUAGCUUAAAAAUAAAAGUAUAGUUCGAUUUUACCUGAAAUAGCUAAAAUGAAAUCACUCCAGUCCAAAAUUAUCCAUAAAACAAAAAACAAAAUCAC
Molecule: long non-coding RNA, 261 nt
Filed under: Mytilus galloprovincialis (Mediterranean mussel)
Lineage: Eukaryota; Metazoa; Mollusca; Bivalvia; Mytilida; Mytilidae
Source: RNAcentral